CACACACACACAUAUCGCUGCUGCUGCUGCUGCUGCUGCUGCUGUUGCUGCUGCUGGGGCCGGCGGCGGCAGAAAGUGCGCGUGGCGUGCGUGAGUUGUGAAUGAGCACACACGCAGAGAGCGAGAGAGAGAGAGAGAGAGAGAGAACUGAACUGUCGCGGACCUCUACGCACACUCUGGCUGCGGAGCGACGGAGAAAGAGCACGUUCGCGUUCCUCCACUCGUAACUCAGCUGCUCUCUGGCGCACUGGAAAACUACUCGGACGUGUGGCGCGUGGUGCCCACUGCUGGCUGUGCGCACACAGACGCACACGCCCGCGUUCGGUCAAAUUCUUUAAAAUCCUCCGCUUUUGCGCUUAUUUCGGAGCCCCCACUUGCUUCUCGCGUCGCACUGCUGUACAGCAAUGCGCAGCCCACGGACUUCCGUUCGCCUUCCGCUCACGAAAAUUGCGAAGAGACGGCGACGCACGACAACGGGCGACGAUGACGCGUGUGCGCGCGGAGCGAGAGAGCGAAAGACUUGCGCGUAUGUACGCUCUCGCUCUUAGCUCUAACUCGGCUCGUCCGGCGUUAUUUAAAUUGCUUAUUUCUCGAUUUAAUGCGCGCGUGCUCGUGCACUCUGCAGCUCGCGCGAGCCUGGCCCUGAGCGAGCACAUAACCGUGCGCGCUUUCUCGGCUCUCUGUACAUGCAUUAUAACAUGCGAGCUAUACCUAUGUAGGUAUUUACAUAUACACACAUGUGUGCGCUCACGUUUACACCACGUUUUUCUCCCUCUCUUGUGCUCGGUGACUCCCGCGGGCUCUCGCAUCGACGGCGUCACGCUCACGUGCGAAAUACUUGUGUGUCUUGUGCGCGGCGCGCGCGAGAGAGUUGCGAGAGUUGCGACGCGUCGAAGAGGGACACGGAACGCGCGAUUCGAUAUGCGAUAGCGCGCGGCGUCGUCUGCCUCCUCCUCCUCCUCCUCUCCCCGCUCUCCCGUACGGGUUAUUGCAACUCCAAUAUGCGUCUAGAUAUUUAUGCGCCAGCUCGCUCCGUCUAUGUAUUUUCCCCUCUCCUCUCUGCCGCUGUUUUGCGCUGCUGAGGUUAUUAUACGCCGCGACAACUCUCGCGCAGGAGAGGAAGGGCCAGCAAGUGCUCCAUGUAAUACGUUUAUAUGUAUGAGCCAGUACACUGAUAAGCCAUCGUCAAGAGCCAGCUCUGAAACGCGUAAAUAGUCGUUGUACCUGGCGACGGUGCCGCCGCGCACGCCGACGCCCCGAGAUAACAAUGAUCGUAUACGCAGCUCGGCAGCUGUCUCCCGCCGUGUGCGGGAUCUUAAACAAAACCUCGAAAUUGCAGUGUGCUAUAUAGGUUCAAUGUACAGCAGCGAAAGCGCGGAUAACAACAACGUAUAUUGUCCGCGCGCGGACAAAUUCCCUCCCCGCCCGUCCUCCUGCCCCCUCUCGCUUACCGGUCCGUCAAUCUCCGCCAGCAGCAGCUGCUUUGAUCAUCGUUUUCGUUCAUCGUCGUCAACUCGUCAUCGUCUCAUUCUCCCCCUGCCCCACCCUGCCCCCCUCUCGCGAACGCUCGCACCGCAACUCGCAAGAUGUCGCUUCGAGCAGUACUAGCCGCCGCCGCUUCAUCUCCGACAGCUCUCUCUGUCUCUCUCUCUAGUCUCUCUCUCUAUGGCCGAGCCAUUUUAUCGAUUUUUCGCAACGAGGCAAUUUGACGACUGCCGCUGUACUUGUGCGCCGUGCGUGGCGUCUGGACGAGGAAGCAGAAGCCGGAGAUCACACACCGCGGAUGCCGACACCGAGGGAAACGCUGUUACUCUGAAAACCACUACGCGACCGGCCGUAAGCAUUCGUCCUGAAACGUGGUGCUUCUGCCGUUAUGAAUAAGCCUCGGCGUCUUGCGUGUGUUAUUCGAUUCAGCAGCAGCAACAGCAGCAGCAGCACCAGCACCAGCAGUAUCAGCAGCAAUGGCUGCGCGCUCAUCGAGACCUUGAGAGAUUUCCAGCAGCGCAAAACAAUUCGUCGUCAAUACCGAGUAAACAAGCAAUAUGUCCCGCUAUCCAUCAGACUGCAAGGUCUACGUCGGUGACCUGGGCAACAGCGCGACGAAACAGGAGUUGGAAGAUGCAUUCUCGCAUUACGGACCGUUGAAGAACGUCUGGGUGGCCAGGAACCCGCCAGGCUUUGCCUUCGUUGAAUUCGAGGACGCCCGAGAUGCCGAAGACGCGGUCAAGGCCUUGGACGGCCGGACAGUCUGCGGACGCAGGGCCCGCGUCGAGCUUUCCAACGGAGAGCGUUCAAGGGACAGGGGCGGCGCGAGGCGUGGUGGCGCCGGUAGCAACCGGCCAUUCCAUCCGGAGCACAGAUGUUACGACUGCGGCGAGCGCGGUCAUUACGCUCGGGACUGCUCCAGACAACGAGGCGGAGCACGGAGGCGCAGGAGGUGCGGCUGAAGCAGCAUUCGCAUGUGACUAUGCGAUGUCGCACAGAGAGAAACUCGCGAGAUUCGACUUGGGUUCACUUUGUGAUGCACUCUGCGUAGUUACAGCGUGUAGAGCACCUACCUACUUUGGGUUUACUUCUGCACUACGAGACACUGAACAGAGAAUACGCAAACGAAAGAGAGCUAAAGAUCGAACGAGACUCAGACUCAGCGAGAAUAUGCGGGAGAGAGCGAAAGAGAGCGAAAGAGGCACUUCGGUUCUUCUAACGACGGCACUUCGCUGCGCUACGACUCUGUCCGCACUCCGCCGCUUCUUCGGGUCUUGGUUCAGCUCAAUGUUUUGAUCUGAUAUCUGCAAACGUCGUCGUAGACACGCAUAGCGAACAUCUGCUCCUUUAGCCUACACUCUCUUCGUCGACACCUCCGAAUAUCGCGCGAUUUUGACAAUCUGCUCUGCUACCCCUCCACCCACGCGUACUCACGCAGCCUCUAAUAGGUCUUUGUCCAGAUCGCGCUCAAGAUCUCGUUCACGCUCAAGGCAGCGUACCAAGCGCAGCUACUCGCGCUCGUCGUCCCGUAGCCGAUCUCGCAGCAGAAGCAGGAACGGACGUCCAGCCAAAUCUUUGAGCAAAUCACGAUCACCAUCGAAAAGCCGCACUCCACGCAGAUCGAAAUCUGGAACUCCUCAUUCAAGAUCCUAAAUUUUCCAAAAGAUUAGAGGUUGAAGGAUCAAACGCUUUUUACUCGUGAUGAAAAUGGUACCUACAUUAAAUCUUGAAAAACACAACAAUUGCAAACAACGUUAUCAGUAUAAUAAUUUCAAUUUCUUUAAAGUCCUUAGAAUUUUUAGAUAAGGAUGAUCAUUUAGACAACUUUGUGAUUGCGAUAAUGUAACGAUUCAAUAAGAUGGAUAAUAAAAUUUUCUUACUAAAAAUUAGAUUUGACGAAUAUUAUGAAUACAAAUUAUGUAGCACGAUCUCAGCAACGGCGUGGUGGAAGUUUAAUUAGAAGUUUAAUUGUAUUUAAACUUCAAUAUGUAGGUUAAAAAACUUAUCGCCAUAGAUUCAGAACCGACAUACUUGCUACUUGAAAAAUUCAAGUGUUUCUUAUGGCUGACUAAGCCUAUUCAAUUUUUAUAGUUAAUUUCAACAUUUGUACACCAGGGAUUAUAAAAACAUAGAAUAAAUAAUAAAACUUUAAUUUCAUUCAAACUUUA
Molecule: RNA transcript, 3653 nt
Organism: Nasonia vitripennis (jewel wasp)
Lineage: Eukaryota; Metazoa; Arthropoda; Insecta; Hymenoptera; Pteromalidae
Gene name: serine/arginine-rich splicing factor 7
Exons: 7
Source: RefSeq, a predicted model, not a curated record